RNAcentral lists this long non-coding RNA (405 nucleotides) under Oryza brachyantha (malo sina). RNAcentral's name for it is "long non-coding RNA (OBRA_LNC000340)". The record is from RNAcentral. Lineage: Eukaryota; Viridiplantae; Streptophyta; Magnoliopsida; Poales; Poaceae.
CAUCAGAGAAAGCCGAGAUGAGCAAAUCCGCCAUUGCGGGUCAUGCCUGCAUGGAGUGAUAUUAACUUACAAGGCUCAAGCUGAAGGUCUUAUCCAUGGCGGUGUGAUUAAACAAGGCUAGCAUAGACAAUAUAGUCCUCAACUUAGUUUGUUGAAGCAUCCAUAGAUACCCAAUGACAUGUGUUGGUUUAUGUCUAGGCUUAGGAAGCCUGGGGAAUUCAGUGUGCAUAGGUGAAAGUCAUCAUUCCUCCAAGUCAUCCAAGCCUUGUGUUUUUGCUUGAAAGCGGCUUCGAGAGACUGGCUGUUGUUGUGGGUACCAAACAGAUGAUAUCGAGUAAAACGGUCCAAUUUAUAAGUGCACGUCAAAAUAUGUAGACACGGAACUGUAUGCUAUCUAGGACUACC